AAUAUUGGGCAAUGCCCGCAAGGGUGACCCAGCAACGCCGCGUGGAGGAUGAAUGUCGUAAGAUUGUAAACUCCUGUUAGAGGGGAAGAAUAGUACCGGUUGGACCGGUAUAUGACUGUACCCUCAGAGAAAGCCCCGGCUAACUACGUGCCAGCAGCCGCGGUCAUACGUAGGGGGCAAGCGUCGUCCGGAUUUACUGGGUGUAAAGGGCGCGCAGGCGGGAUAAAAAGUCAGUGGUGAAAUCCUACAGCUUAACUGUAGGACUGCCUUUGAUACUUUUAUUCUUGAGUUCGGGAGAGAGAGACAGAAUUCCAGGUGUGUGGUGAAAUACGUAGAUAUCUGGAAGAACACCAGUUGCGAAGGCGGUCUCUUGGUCCGACACUGACGCUGAGGCGCGAAAACGUGGGGAGCAAACA
RNAcentral lists this ribosomal RNA (416 nucleotides) under uncultured bacterium. RNAcentral describes it as "bacterial SSU rRNA". It matches the Rfam family "Bacterial small subunit ribosomal RNA", at positions 360 to 774 of the family's 1533-position model. The record is from RNAcentral.